CGGGUAGUAUCCCGCUGGGAACUGCACCUGGAUAAACCUCAUAACAAAAAAAUACGAUGAAUGCCGCUUGGAGCCGGAUGGACCGAGACGGGGGG
The sequence is a regulatory RNA element, 95 nucleotides long. It matches the Rfam family "pan motif". The record is from Rfam.